GAUGAACGCUGGCGGCGUGCUUAACACAUGCAAGUCGAACGGAAAGACCACAACUUGCUGCGGUUCUCGAGUGCGGAACGCGUGAGUAUCACGUGGGUAUCCUGCCCUGUUCUUCCGGGUAAGAUUGGGUAACUGGGUCUAAUAUAGGAUAGGAUACACCUGACGGCGUGUGGCAGGAGAGCUUUUGCGGUUUGGGGUGAGCUUGUGCCGGAUCCGCUUGUUGGUGGGGUAAUGGCCUAGCAAGGCGUCGACGGGUAGCCGGCGUGAGUGGGAGUUCAGCGACCCUGGAACUGAGACACGGUCCAGACUCCUACGGGAGGGAGCAGUCGGGAAUGGUAGGCAGCGGGGGGAAGUCUGACACAGCGAGGCCGCGUGGGUGACGAAGGCGUUCGGUUGGUAAAGCCGUCUUUUUGGGUAAGAACACCUGUCGUCAGAAACGAAGCGGUAGUGACGGUACCUAAAUAAGAAGCACCGGCUAACUACGUG
This 486-nucleotide ribosomal RNA is filed under the name uncultured bacterium. Its description in RNAcentral is "partial 16S ribosomal RNA". It matches the Rfam family "Bacterial small subunit ribosomal RNA", at positions 28 to 507 of the family's 1533-position model. The record is from RNAcentral.